This 481-nucleotide ribosomal RNA is filed under the name uncultured bacterium. RNAcentral's name for it is "partial 16S ribosomal RNA". It matches the Rfam family "Bacterial small subunit ribosomal RNA", at positions 28 to 507 of the family's 1533-position model. The record is from RNAcentral.
GACGAACGUUGGCGGCGUGCUUAAUACAUGCAAGUCAACUGAAGCAGUGGUAGCAAUAUCGCUGUGGAGGUGGCGCACGGGUGAGUAACACGUAGGUAAUCUGCCUUCAGGUCUGGCAUAACUCCGGGAAACCGGGGCUAAUAGCAGAUGAUGCAGCGGCUCGACAUCGAGACAGUUGUUAAAGCUAUGGCGCCUGAAGAUGAGCCUGCGUCUGAUUAGCUAGUUGGCGGGGUAACGGCCCACCAAGGCAACGAUCAGUAGCUGGUCUGAGAGGAUGAUCAGCCACACUGGAACUGAGACACGGUCCAGACUCCUACGGGAGGCAGCAGUAAGGAGUAUUGCUCAACGGGAGAAAUCCUGAAGCAGCAACGCCGCGUGAGGGACGAAGGGCUUUUGCUUGUAAACCUCUGUAGUGAGAGAAAAAAAUCCCAAUCUUUGGGACAUGAUGGUAUCUCAAAAGUAAGCCCCGGCUAACUACGUG